GCCACUAUUCUUGACAAAGCCAAGGCGGCCGGUCACAUUAGAGGGCUAGCCCCCCACCUGGUGGGAGGGAACGACGUGUCCCUCCUCUAGUACGCCGACGAUACCAUCAUUAUGAUGGAGGGCUCUAGCAGCGACAUUGCAAACUUCAAAUUCCUCCUCCUAUGCUUUCAGGAGUUAUCGGGCCUCAAGAUUAACUUUGCGAAGAGCAAAGUAAUGGUUCUGGGAUAUUUGCUGGCUGAGAGCCUGGGUAUUGCCAACCGCCGUAACUGUCGGCUUGGCUCCUUCCCCACCUCUUACCUCGAGAUCCCCAUCAGUGACGCCCGCCUCACGGUCGCUGACUUGCGCCCUUCGGUGGGCAAACUCAGCCUCCGCAUUGAACCUUGGAAGGGUAGAUGGCUGUCUAAGGCGGCUUGCACUAUCCUGAUCGACUCCUCCCUGACUAGCCUCCUGCUUUUCAUCAUGAGCUUCUAUAGCCCGCCCGAGACCCUCCACCAUGAGAUUGGUAUGAUCCAAGGCCUGCUUCUUUUUGGCGGGCGAGGGGGACAAGCAGAAAUACCACAUGGUGCAGUGGUCUAA
RNAcentral lists this ribosomal RNA (576 nucleotides) under Triticum aestivum (bread wheat). RNAcentral describes it as "partial small subunit ribosomal RNA". Lineage: Eukaryota; Viridiplantae; Streptophyta; Magnoliopsida; Poales; Poaceae. The record is from RNAcentral.